AAUGGGCGAAAGCCUGACGGAGCAACGCCGCGUGAGGGAUGAAGGCCUCUGGGCUGUAAACCUCUUUUAUCAAGGAAGAAGAUCUGACGGUACUUGAUGAAUAAGCCACGGCUAAUUCCGUGCCAGCAGCCGCGGUAAUACGGGAGUGGCAAGCGUUAUCCGGAAUUAUUGGGCGUAAAGCGUCCGCAGGCGGCCCUUCAAGUCUGCUGUUAAAAAGUGGAGCUCAACUCCAUCAUGGCAGUGGAAACUGUUGGGCUUGAGUGUGGUAGGGGCAGAGGGAAUUCCCGGUGUAGCGGUGAAAUGCGUAGAUAUCGGGAAGAACACCAGUGGCGAAGGCGCUCUGCUGGGCCAUCACUGACGCUCAUGGACGAAAGCCAGGGGAGCGAAAGGGAUU
RNAcentral lists this ribosomal RNA (394 nucleotides) under uncultured Gammaproteobacteria bacterium. Its description in RNAcentral is "bacterial SSU rRNA". It matches the Rfam family "Bacterial small subunit ribosomal RNA", at positions 370 to 779 of the family's 1533-position model. The record is from RNAcentral. Lineage: Bacteria; Pseudomonadati; Pseudomonadota; Gammaproteobacteria.